Molecule: long non-coding RNA, 2253 nt
Organism: Oncorhynchus tshawytscha (Chinook salmon)
Lineage: Eukaryota; Metazoa; Chordata; Actinopteri; Salmoniformes; Salmonidae
Source: Ensembl
CGUGGGUGGCUGAAAGAUAAACUGUUUUGCUGGUAGUUGUGGUAAUAUAAUGAAAGUUUAGAUGCGAUCACUAUAUAAAUUAAACGAUGAAAAAGCCUGGAAGGAGGAGAGAUGACUAGAAACGAUUCGGUUGGCCGUUUUUUGUCGGAGUAGAGGUCCUUGUGCAUUGUAGGUAAAAUAACAACUCAAUGUUUAUAUCCCAGGACAAAUUAGCUAUCAACAGCAAGCUAGCUAAAUAGGACAAAUUAACGUGAGCUAGCAAGUACAAGCUAACAGGCUAAAUUGCCAUACAUGUUUAAUGAUUUUCGACCUGUCCCCAAAUUAAUGUCAUUGGUUCAGUUUGUUUUGAUAUUUUAACCUGCAUGUGGUGAUCGCGUUUGGUGUGGGGGGGGCAAAAUACAUUUAUGCACGAUGGCGCACAUGCGCAGCGGGUUUGGGUUCGAUGUUAGAUGUCAUGCUAACUCUGACUUCCUGGAGGAAAUCCAGGUGGAGGUGGAUUCUAGGUAGGCUGUCAUCAUUGAUAGUUCAUGAGGACCAACAUUUCAGAUGUUUUUGGAGACAUGGAGACAUGACAUCCUUUCCUCCCACCAUACCUAAAUACCAGAGGAUCAACAUCGGACAUUGGCAGCUGGCAUCACAGUAAAAUCUAAUUUCAUUUGUCACAUGCUUCAUAGACAAAAGGACCUGAGCCCUAGGACCAUGCCCCAGGACUACCUGACAUGAUGACUCCUUGCUGUCCCCAGUCCACCUGGCCGUGCUGCUGCUCCAGUUUCAACUGUUCUGCCUUAUUAUUAUACGACCAUGCUGGUCAUUUAUGAACAUUUGAACAUCUUGGCCAUGUUCUGUUAUAAUCUCCACCCGGCACAGCCAGAAGAGGACUGGCCACCCCACAUAGCCUGGUUCCUCUCUAGGUUUCUUCCUAGGUUUUGGCCUUUCUAGGGAGUUUUUCCUAGCCACCGUGCUUCUACACCUGCAUUGCUUGCUGUUUGGGGUUUUAGGCUGGGUUUCUGUACAGCACUUUGAGAUAUCAGCUGAUGUACGAAGGGCUAUAUAAAUAAAUUUGAUUUGAAUUUGAUUUGAAAUAGUGACAUGAGGAAUAAAUGCCCAGUGAAUAAUGAAUAGAAAUAAAGAGUAAAAACUACAAGGAUAUAUAUAGGGAGGACAAAAUAACAUGGCUAUAUACAGGGAGUACCAGUACCUAGUCGAUGUGCAGGGGUACGUAAAUUGAGGUAGCUAAGUAUUCAGACCCCUUGACUUUUUCCACAUUUUGUUACGUUACAGCCUUAUUCUAAAAUGUAAUAAAUAUUUUUUCCCCCCUCAUCAAUCUACACACAAUACCCCAUGAUGAAAAAGCAAAAACAGUUUUUUAGAUUUGUUUUCUCAUAAAAAAAACAACAACACUGAAAUAUGUAUUCAGUCUCUUUACUCGGUACUUUGUUGAAGCACCUUUGGCAGAGAUUACAGCAUUGAUUCUCCUUGGGUAUGAUGCAACAAGCUUGGCACACCUGUAUUUGGAGAGUUUCUCCCAUUCUUCUCUGCAGGUCCUCUCAAGCUCUGUCAGGUUGUCUGAGGAGCGUCGCUGCACAGCCAUUUUAAGGUCUAUCCAGAGAUGUUUGAUCGGGUUUAAGUCUGGGCUCUGGCUGUGCCACUCAAGGACAUUCAGUGACUUGUCCCGAAGCCAUUCCUGCGUUGUCUUGGUUGUGUGCUGAGGGUCGUUGUGAUGUUGUAAGGUGAACCUUCGACACAUUCUGAGGUCCUGAGUACUCUGGAGCAGGUUUUCAUCAAGGAUCUCUGUACUUUGCUCUGUUCAUAUUUCCCUCAAUCCUGACUAUUCUCCUAGUCCCUGCCGCUGAAAAACAUCUCCACAGCAUGAUGCUGCCACCACCAUGCUUCACCAUAGGGAUGGUGCCAGGUGUCCUCCAGAUGUGACGCUUGGCAUCCAGGCCAAAUAAUUUAAUCUUGGUUUCAUCAGACCAGAGAAUCUUGUUUCUCAUGGUCUGAGAGUCCUUUAGGCGCCUUUUGGCAAACUCCAAGCUGGCUGUCAUGUGCCUUUUACUAUGGAGUAGCUUCCGUCUGGCCACUCUACCAUAAAGGCCUGAUUGGUGGAGUGCUGCAGAGAUGGUUGUCAUUCUGGAAGGUUCUCCCAUCUUCACAGAGGAACUCUGGAGCUCUUUCAGAGAGACCAUCACGGUCUUGGUCACCUCACUGACCAAAGCCCUUCUCCACCCAUUUGCUCAGUUUGGCAGGGCGGCC